CCUACGGGUGGCAGCAGUCGAGAAUCAUUCACAAUGGGGGAAACCCUGAUGGUGCGACGCCGCGUGGGGGAAUGAAGGUCUUCGGAUUGUAAACCCCUGUCAUGUGGGAGCAAAUUAAAAAGAUAGUACCACAAGAGGAAGAGACGGCUAACUCUGUGCCAGCAGCCGCGGUAAUACCGAGGUCUCAAGCGUUGUUCGGAAUCACUGGGCGUAAAGCGUGCGGAGGCUGGUUCGUAAGUAGUGUGUGAAAGGGGCGGGCUCAACCCGCGGAGGGCAAAUGAUACUGGGAGACUAGAGUAGAGGAGAGGGAACCGGAAUGCUCGGUGUAGCAGUGAAAUGCGUAGAUAUCGAGCGGAACACUCGUGGCGAAGGCAGGUUCCUGGACAUUGACUGACGCUGAGGCACGAAGGCCAGGGGAGCGAAAGGGAUUAGAUACCCCUGUAGUC
This 446-nucleotide ribosomal RNA is filed under the name uncultured bacterium. RNAcentral describes it as "partial 16S ribosomal RNA". It matches the Rfam family "Bacterial small subunit ribosomal RNA", at positions 338 to 795 of the family's 1533-position model. The record is from RNAcentral.